CAUGUUAUAAGACAUGAUCAUUACCGAUUAAUUUCAGUCACUGUAUCCGAAUGAUACGACAAGCCGCCUUUGAUUGAUUGAUUGAUGUUCCAUGGAACAUUCGUAUUACAGAGGCUAGCUACUAGGGCUACUAGCUAGCUUCCGAUGCGGAAAGAAGAAGAAGAAAGGGGAAUGAAAUCAGUAGCUGUGUAGGCUAGCAGUCUGCCGCCGAUCUCGUCGGCCUUCGGCGCAGGACGUCACCCAGCGGCCUGCAGACGAAUCAAGAGGACCAUGUUAGAUAGUUACUACAGUUUACUGGUGGAUCGAUCGGCCUGAUCACGGGAGCUUAAUCACCUAGGAGGUGGGAUCGGAUUCGGCGGGGAGCUGCUGCAGCGGAGGCGGCUGCGGGUCCUGGUGGUCGUGGAGGAGCGCGCGGGUCUCGUGGAUCCGGAAGCGGGUGGCGGCCACCACCCGCUUGAG
This 459-nucleotide long non-coding RNA is filed under the name Hordeum vulgare. RNAcentral describes it as "long non-coding RNA (HVUL_LNC012448)". The record is from RNAcentral. Lineage: Eukaryota; Viridiplantae; Streptophyta; Magnoliopsida; Poales; Poaceae.